AUGUAUGCUGUGUUGGUUGGGGGCCACAAACAUGGCACAGGGUGCAUCUACACUGUAGAAUUAAUGCAGUUUGACAUCACUUUUAACUGCCACGGCUCAAUGCUAUGGACUAUGGAAAACUCACAGCAACCCAGUGAUUCCGGCCAUGAAGCGUUCGACAACACAGUUCUCUGGUUCUUCAGCCUUGAUGUGGAUUUUUUCAGUCUAUUUUGGAGAAGCCCAUGGAGAAAUGUCUCAAUGUAUCCGACACCAGAGGUGGCAACUUUGCAAUUCAAGAGAGAAAGAUCUUUGCUCCGUGUUCCUGUAUAUCCUUGCAGCUGUGGAUCUUGCUUCAAGUUCCAGCCUCGCUUUUGACUGUGAAUCCAGUUGAACAUUCUAGUGACUUUGCCAUUUGGAUUUCUAUUCUAGCCAAGACCUUCGCUUUGUGUUCCAGCAUUAACUUUAUACCUUGAAAUACCUUGGAGUUUGAUCCUGCAUUCGAGUCUUGUUUCCUGUGGUUCCAGUUUGAAUAGUCCAAAUGAAGCUUGUUUGGACUAUUCUUGAUGCCUUUUGUGGGACUUAAUUCGAUAUCUGGUUUAGACUACGUUCUGUGAGUGACUUUCAUAGACUCUUGCUUCAAGAUUUUCAAGUACUUUGCUUUUGUGGGUUUAAACCCAUUUUAUUGACUCUGAAUUUUAUUUGCUUGUGCUUACUUAUAACCUUCAAUAAACAACUUGCUUGCUUAUAUUCUGGGACUCCAGUGUGGUUUUGAGGUGUCUACGCAGCCUAGGGGUGCAAUACUAAUUAAGAUGCAGAAUCUUAUCUUCAACACCUUGGAAAGUGCCAUUAAAGUCUGGAUUCAAACCCAGACUGGAUUUAUAGGCCUACUAAAUAGUAAGCCACUAGCUGCCAUUGGCUUAAAUCCAACUUUUGGUCCUAACUAGAGAUCUGCUGAUUUCAUGGAAUGUACAUGAAUGUUGACUUAUUCAAUUCCCAUUGGUUUAGUGGCUCUACUCUAGUUGCGACUAAGGAUUGGAUCUAAUCCAUUACAGUCCCCUCCUUGAAUCAAUUUACUAUAGAUGCAAUUAAGCAAUAACAGCAGGAGUUCAUGAUCUUUUUAUAUUUUUUUAUUUGUACUGGUUUUAAUUCUUUAUAAGUCAUCUCAAGUCCCACUAUUGGGUGGGAUGUAAAUGAAUCGCCAUCAUUUUUCUUGCCCAGGUCUUAUUUAAA
Molecule: long non-coding RNA, 1209 nt
Filed under: Anolis carolinensis (green anole)
Lineage: Eukaryota; Metazoa; Chordata; Lepidosauria; Squamata; Anolidae
Description: lncRNA (ENSACAG00000035399.1)
Source: RNAcentral